AUUCUAUGGUGAGGACAAUUUUUAAUCAUCAUCUUAAAUUGCUCGAAAGCUUCAUGAAACAUCUCGCCUUGUUGUUGUUGAAAACUCCUCAACCCCUUUCUUGCAU
Molecule: small nucleolar RNA, 106 nt
Filed under: Helianthus annuus (common sunflower)
Lineage: Eukaryota; Viridiplantae; Streptophyta; Magnoliopsida; Asterales; Asteraceae
Description: Plant small nucleolar RNA R71
Rfam family: Plant small nucleolar RNA R71
About the family: R71 is a member of the C/D box family of snoRNAs containing the C (UGAUGA) and D (CUGA) box motifs.
Source: RNAcentral